RNAcentral lists this transfer RNA (70 nucleotides) under Trichodectes canis. Its description in RNAcentral is "tRNA-Trp". Lineage: Eukaryota; Metazoa; Arthropoda; Insecta; Psocodea; Trichodectidae. The record is from RNAcentral.
CAAGACGUAGGUUAAUCUUAAAACCAUUACCGUUCAAAGGUAAAAUUACUUAAUAGUUAGGUUGUCUUGA